RNAcentral lists this non-coding RNA (76 nucleotides) under Microbacter margulisiae. The record is from RNAcentral. Lineage: Bacteria; Pseudomonadati; Bacteroidota; Bacteroidia; Bacteroidales; Porphyromonadaceae.
AAGAGCCGUAUGAUGGGAGACUAUCACGUACGGUUCUGUGAGAGGCUUAGAGUGAAAUUCCCCUUGCCUACUCGAC